GAUGAACGCUGGCGGCGUGCCUAAUACAUGCAAGUCGAGCGAACGGACGAGAAGCUUGCUCCUCUGAUGUUAGCGGCGGACGGGUGAGUAACACGUGGAUAACCUACCUAUAAGACUGGGAUAACUUCGGGAAACCGGAGCUAAUACCGGAUAAUAUAUUGAACCGCAUGGUUCAAUAGUGAAAGACGGUCUUGCUGUCACUUAUAGAUGGAUCCGCGCUGCAUUAGCUAGUUGGUAAGGUAACGGCUUACCAAGGCAACGAUGCAUAGCCGACCUGAGAGGGUGAUCGGCCACACUGGAACUGAGACACGGUCCAGACUCCUACGGGAGGCAGCAGUAGGGAAUCUUCCGCAAUGGGCGAAAGCCUGACGGAGCAACGCCGCGUGAGUGAUGAAGGUCUUCGGAUCGUAAAACUCUGUUAUUAGGGAAGAACAGAUGUGUAAGUAACUGUGCACAUCUUGACGGUACCUAAUCAGAAAGCCACGGCUAACUACGUG
RNAcentral lists this ribosomal RNA (497 nucleotides) under uncultured bacterium. Its description in RNAcentral is "partial 16S ribosomal RNA". It matches the Rfam family "Bacterial small subunit ribosomal RNA", at positions 28 to 507 of the family's 1533-position model. The record is from RNAcentral.